GCAGUGAGGAAUAUUGGUCAAUGGUCUAACGACUGAACCAGCAAUUUGGAGGAAUGUAUAACGAAUAAGUCGUAUAAAGUUCUAGGUAAAAAAUUUAUAAUGACUAAUUUUUACCUAUAAGUCUUGACCAAAUUACGUGCCAGCAGUCGCGGUAAUACGUAGAAGACAAGUGUUACUCAUCUUUAGCAGGUUUAAAGGGUACCUAGACGGAAAAUCAAGCCAUAGUAGGGACUAAUUUUCUAGAGUUUUAUAUGUGAAGAUCGAACCACCUGAGGAGCGAUAAUAUGCACUGAUACAGGUGGGACGGGUAUCGGCGAAGGCAAUCUUCUAUGCAAUAACUGACGUUGAGGGACGAAGCCUUGGGGAGCGAGAAGGAUUAGAUACCCUAGUAGUCCAAGGAGAAAAUUAUGAGUGCCAUAGACUAUUAACUAGUUUAUAAAUGAAAGUGAAAGCAUUCCACCUCAUGAGUAAAGCGGCAACGCCGAAAUUGAAAUCAUUAGACCGUUUUUGAAACCAGUAGUGAAGUAUGUUAUUUAAUUCGAUGAUCCGCGAAAAACCUUACCACCUCUUGAAUUUUUUCUUUGAUUAUACAAGCGCUGCACGGCUGUCUUCAGUUAAUGUCGUGAGAUUUUGGUUUGUUCCAUUAAUUAACGAAAACCCUUGUCUUAUUUUUAUAUAAGACAGCUUAUCGCUAUAUUUUGAUAAGUUAGUAGGGACCAAGACAAGUCAUCAUGGCCUUAAUGAUGUGGGCUAUA
Molecule: ribosomal RNA, 755 nt
Filed under: Chaetothyriales sp. MACrh12a
Lineage: Eukaryota; Fungi; Ascomycota; Eurotiomycetes; Chaetothyriales
Description: SSU rRNA
Rfam family: Bacterial small subunit ribosomal RNA
Source: RNAcentral